CCUACGGGAGGCAGCAGUGAGGAAUAUUGGUCAAUGGACGAGAGUCUGAACCAGCCAAGUAGCGUGAAGGAUGACUGCCCUAUGGGUUGUAAACUUCUUUUAUAAAGGAAUAAAACGAGGCACGUGUGCCUUUUUGCAUGUACUUUAUGAAUAAGGAUCGGCUAACUCCGUGCCAGCAGCCGCGGUAAUACGGAGGAUCCGAGCGUUAUCCGGAUUUAUUGGGUUUAAAGGGAGCGUAGAUGGGUUGUUAAGUCAGUUGUGAAAGUUUGCGGCUCAACCGUAAAAUUGCAAUUGAUACUGGCAGUCGUGAGGACAGUUGAGGUAGGCGGAAUGCGUGGUGUAGCGGUGAAAUGCUUAGAUAUCACGAAGAACCCCGAUUGCGAAGGCAGCUUACUAAACUGUGACUGACAUUGAUGCUCGAAAGUGUGGGUAUCAAACAGGAUUAGAUACCCCAGUAGUC
RNAcentral lists this ribosomal RNA (460 nucleotides) under uncultured bacterium. RNAcentral describes it as "partial 16S ribosomal RNA". It matches the Rfam family "Bacterial small subunit ribosomal RNA", at positions 338 to 795 of the family's 1533-position model. The record is from RNAcentral.